CGCUUAAUGAAAGUUUAAAGUAAGAAACUUGCUCAACAUAAAUGUUGAGUUAGAAAACUUGCCUCGAGCGUAAGCUAUAAUAUUAAACUCACGUUCACCUACACAUAGGUUUAGAACCACAAUACCUAUUAGAUAUGCUAACAUACCAUAACAUGUACAUUUCUAGCUAAACUUAUCAUUUUAGCACAAGUCUUAUGCUACUAUACAAAUAUCAGAAAUUUCAAGUGUUAACCUUCACAACACCUGUUUACUUUUCAUCAUGCUCACUAAGCCUAACAUGCCACGUUCAUUACUUACUAAUCAUUUGAAACUUUAAAUUUACUAACCACAUAACACAACUUUUUUUAACCUUGUUGUUACGUGUUUAUCAUACUAACACAUCAUUGGACCAUGGUAUGAUGCUAUCCCAUAACUGCAGCAGUAGCAGAAGUCACUAUCCCAAACCAGGGUAUGGUGCAGCUGCGCCAUACACAGGCCUGGGACGGGCGCAACACGUAGCUGCGCUGGUGCACAGACAGAGACAGAGACGGCUAUGAACAGUAGCCGACUUUAGCCCAACAACCACGAAUUUCACCCACUAAACAGUAAUAUUAACACGAACAAUUGAUACAAAACCAUCAUAAACAUAUUUGCCAACAUAUUCCUCAACAUAAAACAAUUUAACAACAAUUACACUAGUUUAAUUUCCUCAAAUUCCAUAUUUUUAUAUAAAACUUCAUUUUUGAGUUCCUUAGAUCAACACUGUAAACACAAUUCUUGUCCAAAUUGCUUCAUUCAAAUUACGUUGUCUUCGUUUCUUAAUGAACUAGCAUAAUCAAGCCUCAAUUUGCAGUUUAGCAUACUAAUUAACCAUCAUAAUUGGUACUUCAUAAGCCAUAUGAGAAAACAUACUGGAAUUUACUUUUCUUCCUUUUUAAGCUGUAAUUAGCAUACAAUCAUAAGCUCUAGCAUCACAAAUUACAUAUAAAUUGCAAUAACUCAGUUUUCUACAACAAUUCGAGAGAAUUUGAAUUCACAGAGCACAUAUAAGUUAUGUCGUAACCUCAUAUAUACAUAUUUAUAUAUAUAAUAUUAAGGUUGUAUAAGAAGUACCUUCAAAUUGCUUGCAAUCCUUUUUGUUAAACACUGAAAAUUCUCUAAAAUCCUUCUCUCUCAAAUUCUCUCAAGCUCUAUCAAGCUCUCUCUGAACUCUCAGUGUUCUUCCUAGGCAACUAAGGUUAUGCGUAAAAACCCAAACUGAUAAUCAAGCGUAAGAAAUAAAACUGAUAACCUUAAUACGCCAAACUUAAUAAAAUGUCAGUUACAAAACAAACGUAUAUAUUAUAAAUAUAUUAUAUUUAUUAUUUAUUUUAUUUUAUUUACUUUAUUUAUAAUUCAAAAUUCAAAAACUAAUAAUCCAAAUGCCAUAAGGCUUUGUUUGGCAAAACCCUUUAAAAUUUAAAGACUUAAUAUUUUAAGCCUUGUUUGGCAAAAACUAAAUUAAACUCCCUUAAUUUAUUUUAAUAAACCAUUUAGUUUAUAAUUUAUAAUUACAUCUUAUUUAUUUGGAUUUCCAUAUCCAUCAUUUAUUAAAUAAAUCAAUCACAUUCUAUAUUUUAAAUAAAUUUACCAUUUAAACAAAUAACACAAAAUUAUAAUUUCAUUAUAAUUUUAUUUAAUAAUUUAAUAUACCAUUUUAAAUUAUUAAUUAACAAUAUAACACCUCAUGUCAAAUUACAACUCUCUAAAUUAUAAAUUAAUUUAAUUUAGAAUAUUAUCUAAUAAAUUUAGAUUCAUAAAUAUAUAUUAACAACCAUCACAUCAAUAAAUAUUUAUUCAACAAUAAACACCUCAAAUAAAUAUUUAUAUAAUUCAAUAAAUAUUUAAAAUUAUAAUUUGAAAUUCUGGAUUGUUACAGAAACCUUAAUAUCCAAGUCCCACAUUGGGUCACUUAUAAAAGUCUUAAGUAAGUUUUUCUUAUAAAAAGACUUCAAAGUGAAACAUUAAGAGUCAAGUCCCACAUUGGUUCACUUAUAAAAGUCUAAUGAAGUUUUCCUUAUAAAUAUUGGUUCACUUAUAAAAGUUUAAGUAAGUUUUCCUUGUAAAAAGAUUUCAAAGUUAAACCUUAAUAACAAAGUCCCACAUUGGUUCACUUAUAAAAGUCUAAGAAGUUUUUCUUAUAAAAAGACUUCCAAGUGAAAUCUUAAUAGCCAAGUCCCACAUACUUUGGAAAAUCUUAAUAGCCAAGUUCCACAUACUUACUUUGGAAAAUCUUAAUAGCCAAGUCCCACAUAUUUAUAAAAGUCUAAGGAAGUUUUUCUUAUAAAAAGACUUCCAAGUGAAACUUUAAUAGCCAAGUCCCACAUUGGUUCACUUAUAAUAGUCGUAAGGAAAUCUUAAUAGUAAAGUCCCACAUUGGUUCACUUAUAAAAGUCUAAGGAAGUUUUCCUUAUAAAAAGACUUCCAAGUGAAACCUUAAUAGCCAAGUCCCACAUUGGUUCACUUAUCAAAGUCUAAGGAAGUUUUGCUUAUAAAAAAACUAUUAAGUAUGAAAUGAGACCUUAAUAGCCAAGUCCCAAGGGAAACAUUAAUAAUUGGUGGUUUACAAGUUCUAUAUUAAUAAACUUAAAUUAUUUAUCAAUAAGUUGGGAAAGAUCUGCUCCAAAGUUAGAAUAAAAGUCUCAAGUCCACAUUGAUUAAUAAAAAUUUAAGGAAGACCUUAAUAAUUGGUUAAUUUAUAAAAGUCUAAGGAAAUUUUUCUAUAAAAAAACUACAAGUGAGACCUUAAUAGUCAAGUCUCACAUUGAUUAUUUUUCUAUAAAAAAAACUAUAAGUGAGACCUUAAUAGUCAAGUCCCACAUUGGUUAUUUUUUAAAAGUCUAAGGAAGUUUUCCUUAUAAAAAUACUACUAAGUGAGAUCUUAAUAGGAAAGUCCCACAUUGGUUAUUUUAUAAAAGUCUAAGGAAGUUUUCCUUCUAAAAAGACUACUACCAAGUGUGAUUUUAAUAGCAAAGUCCCACAUGGGUUAUUUUAUAAAAGUCUAAGGAAGUUUUCCUUCUUAAAAGACUAUCAAGUGAAGUUUUCCUUGAGACCUUAAUAGCCAAGACCCACAUUGGUUAUUUUGUAAAAUUCUAAGAAAGUUUUUCUUAUAAAAAGACUUCCAAGUCUUUUAUUUUUUAAUUGGGUUGAAUUUUAGUUUGAAGAAGGUUGGGCCUAAUACAAGUCAUGGGCUACUUGACCUUUAGCCGAAUUUAGGCUCAAAAACAAGUCUUGGGCUGCUCUUUCUUGUUAUAACUGCAAAUUAAAGAAACUAACCUUCUAUUUCAUGGGCUUCUAAAGCCUCUUAUAUUGUUCUAACCAAUUUUCACACGUUCGUCCUACAUCAUUUCUCCUUUGUUGAAAAAAACAUGACUACGUCGAGUUAAAAACAUCACUACGAGAAUAAUCACGCUAGAUCACCAAGGAAUUCUUUACAAAAUUAAAAGUUGGUAUGUCGAUAGCACAUGUAAGAGUGAACCUGAUAUGGCCUUUGAUAAUUGAAUAGAUAUUAGCACGAGCAUCAUGUUGCGCACGAUGAUCCCAUAACCAUGUACGCCCUAAGAUAAUGUUACAAACAUUAAGGGGUAGAAUAUCACACAUAACGGUAUCCUUAAGCUUGCCAACAGAAAAUGUAACUGAAUACCUCUGGGUAACCUGCAACUUUGUAUUGGUAAUCCAUACAACAUCAUACGGCUCCGGGUGAGGCUCAACUUUUAACCAAAGCUUAUUAACUGCUUCCUCUAAUAUAAUUUUCGUACAACUCCUAGUAUCAAUCACAAGAGAGCACACCUAUCCCGCACAUAUAACGCUCGUCUGAAAAAUUCGCCCAUGAUGAAUUUGAGAAUCAUCCUUACAUUUUUAAGCAACAAGUAAAGGUUGAAGAACACCUAAACAUCAUUCCAAAUGAGCAUUAGAUUCUAAAUCUUGCUCACCGGGUUCAUAUUCGUCGUUCAUCGGUUUGCAAACCUAAGGCUGUAAACGAGUAAACAGUUCGGGCUCGAGUGAACUCUGUACUAGAAUUGACAGCACUAACACUGCAAUCCAUAGAUACAAACAAUUAUAAAAGCUGUUCUAUAUCCUAGACUCGUACUUUAGGGGAUCAGCCUAAGUACCCUACAUUGUGCAUAACAUAACAGUCUAAUGACACUUUACAUGUCCUUCGGAAUCAUAUGUCCGAUACAAUAUGCCCCUAUAAAAGGGUUGUUCGUUCACAGCAUUAUAUAAGAAUCUGCACCACAACAAAAUGGUUUGGAAAAUAUUAUAUGAGAUUUUCAUGAAUAAUAUCAAUGUAUCUCAACAGUUGUCUAACUAAAAUAAUGGCAUUGGCAUACUUUCAAUAUAAACUUAUUUAAGAGAGAAGUAUUAUUCUUUUGAAGUUGAUUGGAAUAAAAAGGUUAUUUAGCCUUAUAUUAUUCAUAAAUAAUGAGAGACGGAUCAGAAAUUGGAGAACCUGUCCAUUCUAUAAUACUUGCUCAAUAAAGAGUAAGAGUUAGAAACAUGCCUCGUUUGUAGUCUAUUGUUAAGAUUUCAGCUUAAUUGAAGUGUUCUCAUAGAUCCUACACAGUUAUUUACAUUAGCAAGCAUGUUAGCCACAUAGCCAAGCCACAUAGUUUGUAAGCUCACAUAUCACGUAGUUUUAGUGAUCAUGGUUGUAUUUAGAUUCCUAUAUUUGAGAUAUUUUAUACAUUUUUCAAAUACCUCAUCCAUGUUUUCACAUUAGUCAUUUUUCACUUUGAUGGGAUUUGACAUACUUAUAUCAUGCAAUAGGAAUCACUUACCAUUUACAUCUUAUUCAGGAUUUAGAACAUAAAGAUUUCAUGUGUUCUUGAGUUAAGUCAUAGCAGCCCAUACCAAAGUAAUUUUGUGUUGGUUUAGACUUCUAAGCAAGCUUCUUUAUAUUUCUUGAAACUAAUGCCCAAACUAGGCCACUAUUCACAGUUUUGAGUUUACUAGUUUUGGUCCAUUAUUUCCAAUUUCAUUUCUAGCCACCUUGGUUCAUUCCAACACUUGAAUUAUAUCUAGUUAGGACUAGUUCUAGCAUCUUUAGGUUUACUAAGCAUAGAUUGGGUUUUGACCCUCUAAACCUAGCUUUUUCAAGCUUUUACACACUAACUUCUCAAGUUCUUGUAUAUAUUAGCAUUCCAACACUUGGAAUAACCUAGUAUAACUCUAACUCACUUGUCUAAGGUAUCCAAAUUGAGUUCUAAGUAGAAUAGAAAAAUCUCAAAUUUUCAUACUUAGACAAAUUUGCAAAACUACAGUUUUAAAGAUUUUCCAUGCUAGAUUGGUGAUUUGUUUAAAGUCCUUGGUUAAGCCAAGAGAAUAACCACUUGGCCCUACUUUUAGACCAUACUACAAGGUAUUUUAAUCAAGGUUUAGAUUUCUUGUUCAUGCCCAUUAAGCCUCCCAAAACAGGGCUCAAACUUAGCCAUUUUCUUAUUUUAUUACAAAACUGAUUUUGUACUUUUUCCAAAUUUUUCUUGUUUUGGCCACUAGGAUAGUCUAGGCAUGUGUAUUUAAGUUACUUAAGGAUACGUUUAGCAUCACCACACUUUAUUUAAUCAUCUAGCCCAUUUUGACCUAUCAAAGCUCACUUUAGGCUUGAAAAAGAGAUCUUAACUUGGUUCUCUUGCUAGCUUUGGUAAUGGCCAUGAUUUGGAAUCAUUACUAUCAUGUAUGAGCAACUUUAUAUAAGCUCACAAUAGUCCCUUAAUGUCAGGUACUAAGGAUUGCCCAAAAUAGCCCAUUUUUAGCUUUAAAAUGUGAUCUUUAACAAGUUUAAUGAUCAAAAAAGUUUAGACUUUGUUUCCUUAGCUUGUGUAGCUUAAUUAGGUCAUAUUUUAGCUAUUGGAACUUGUCUAUAUAGUCUAGAUAUGGUAGUUCUUCAUUUAGGUGCUAGUUGCUUUUUAAAGCUUACUUUCAUGGAUUUUUAAACAUGACUUUAUACAAUACACCUUGUAAACCUUAACUAACUUAGGGAACAACUUUUAAGUGAUAUUUUUAGACUAUUUAGAGACUUCAUAUUGCCUCUCAACUUCAGUUUGCAAACAUUACUCAUAACAGUCCUUUUUUAUCUUUUUAUGCCAACAACUAAGCUUGGCUUGGCCCUGUGAGGCUCAGCUAAGCUUGGUGUGGCCUUGUUUAGCCUCACGGCCCCUAAGUCAAAUCCAAAGCUACUAUUGCAGCUGUUAACUUGACAAUUGUUGCCACAAAUGAGCAGUUGCUCGGCCACUUUUCUUUAACUUUUUUAUAUUUGCAAACUCCCAAGGAUAGUCUAUAUGCCUGUUUAUAAACUAACUUAGACUAUACUUAUUAGUUAGCUCUAGACAACUAUAUUAGUUUGUUAAGACAGACUGCCCAAACUGCCUUAGUAGUCCUCUACUUGCCAACUGUUGCUAUUUUUUUCUAUAGCCAGUAGGCAGCAGUCCCAAGUCCUAUGCCAUUCAAAGGUUUUACUUCUUAACUUCAUGAAAUCUUGGCAUGCUAUAUGUGAUACAAUCCUAGUUAUGCUUACCUUCCAACUAGGCUGGGAGAAAAAGUUGUUAGUGCCACUAAAGGACACUGCUUCUGCUGUUGUGACACACUUCUUGCUGCUAUUUGCAGCAAAAUGCUGCCGCCAAUGGCAGCAGCUAUGCUCUUUAUCUCAGGGAAUUUCUGGCUUCAUAUUAGGUAGCUUAUUUAUAACUUAUUUCAAGAACUUUAUAGAUAAUAUACUCACUCUCAGUUAACUCAACAUUUGCAGCCAUUGAAUUACAUUUGCAAAUUGGUUUGUGACCACUGAUUGUCGGUACACGUUGCUGCCUAUGGGCAACAGCUCCUUUUCUUAUCCCUUUGUUUUGUUGCACUUUAUUCCCCCAUUCUUGACCCUCUUAUAUCAAGUGUUGGGUAUUUCAUAACUUAUAUUUAUUCUUAUUGUAGAGAAGUAUUACAUAAGUAUAUUUAGUAGUUUAAUUGUGCCAAACUAAAGCUCAAGGAAAGCUUCAACUGUUGCACAUGACUGCUGCUACUGUGAGCAGCAGCUGUACCACUAACUCCAUACCAUCUUUGGCUUGAAUUUGAGUUUUCGUUUCUAAUUGGCAUGCUUAUUCGCUCUAUUUUUAACCCCCUAUAGCAUACCAAUUUGUCCCAGCCCUUAAUUCUUUCUAGUAAUUAAUUUUUACUCAAAAUAGUUUACUGGGGACUUUUAACGAACAUGUGGUGUGCACAGUAUUGAUUUACCAGAUUCAUAGUCAUAGGUUUAUAACAUACAUCCUCAUUAUCCUUCUUAUUACUCCACAGCCCAACCUAUCUCCUUGUGCUUAACUUCAGUCCAUAUUAAUACAACAAUCAGCAUACCAGACAUUUUAAUUCAUAGAAUAGUUAACAUAGCAACCAAAAACAGAACUUAAUGUAACAGUCCUUCUAUUCCCAGCCAUUCAGAAUUUACAGUUCAGUUGCUUAACAAGGAUGGAAUGAAAAAGGAAUGAAAAGGGAUUUGAGGACUUACCUUUAUAGCUCAGUGUUUGCAAAUGGUUAUUGCUCAGUUUCUCUCCUUCCUCGAUCAGACUCCAUUUUCUUCUCUCUAAGUGUGUUACAGUUUUGAAGCUCAGUUAGUAGUACACCCACUGAGUUUGAGAUACUUAGUAUGGUUAUAAGUAGCUAAGAAGUAAAGGCUAACCAUCAUGGCUCUACUUAGCUGCUACCACCGUACUCUAACAGCCUAAGUCAGUUGCCCCUAUUUGCUCAGCUGAUACACUCCCCCUUGGAUCCUAUCUAGCUCCUUAUCUGGCCCCUAUACAGCAACCUAGAUUGGCCUCUAUAAGACUCUUGCUGGGCUACCUUUGCUAGUAGCUACAUUGACCCUUAUUGUUGCCUGAAAUUUUAGCUCUUACAGUGAUUAGCCUCUCAG
This 7906-nucleotide long non-coding RNA is filed under the name Panax ginseng (ginseng). Its description in RNAcentral is "long non-coding RNA (PGIN_LNC004692)". The record is from RNAcentral. Lineage: Eukaryota; Viridiplantae; Streptophyta; Magnoliopsida; Apiales; Araliaceae.